This is a long non-coding RNA of Gallus gallus (chicken), 811 nucleotides long. RefSeq lists it as uncharacterized. The record is from RefSeq and is a predicted model, not a curated record. The transcript has 4 exons. NCBI's taxonomy places the organism in Eukaryota, Metazoa, Chordata, Aves, Galliformes, Phasianidae.
CUUCUAUGAUGUCAUCAGUGGCUGGGUAAGAUGGGGGAAAGCAGUGGAUGUUGCGUACCUUGACUUCAGCAAGACAUUUUAGACUGUCUUCCACAACAUCCUGGUUAUGAAACUUAGAAAAUGUGAGAUAGGAAAGACGUGGACAUAUUCAAGCAACUCCAGUGAAGAGCCAUGAAGAUGAUUAAGGUUCUGGGACAUCUGGCAUACAAAUUGAGGCUGAGAGAGCCUGAACUAUUUAGCCUCAAGGUGAAGAAUUGUGAGGUGUUGGUAGAAUCUUAUUCAUAUACGUAAAUAUCUGAUAGAAGGAAGUGAAGAAGAUAAAACCAGACUUCUGAGUGAAGUGUUCACAAACUGAAAAACAGGGAAUUUCCUUUAAAGACGGGGAAAGGCUUUUUAACGUGUAAUAUUGAAGACACAACAAGUUGGCAAUGCUGAAAACGAACCAGCCUGUGGGUUGCUACGGAUGUUAGCUGAGAGCACUGAAAAGGAACUGAAGAGGAGUCACAAAAGCUUUGUCGUCUAAAUAUUCAGCUGACAAAGAGACUUGAGACACACAUACAGGAAACUUGUGGAACUCCGGCUCCAUGAGCAGAAACAAGAACUAGGUUUCCUUACUGUCCUGAUGUGAACACAGUUUAAACAUUUAUAUACUGCUAAUGUGUGUAUAUACACAAACAAGCUUACGGUAAAGAACUGUGUAAUUUGAGUUUGUUUCAAUUAUAGUUAGUUCAGAGCUCAUCAGUAUAUGUGAUUUCACAAAGUGAUAAUUUAAACUAUUAAAUUAUCACUCUGUUCCUCAUUGAAAGUGAUA